Molecule: ribosomal RNA, 2917 nt
Filed under: Pseudomonas syringae
Lineage: Bacteria; Pseudomonadati; Pseudomonadota; Gammaproteobacteria; Pseudomonadales; Pseudomonadaceae
Also listed under: 1 other name
Description: 23S ribosomal RNA
Rfam family: Bacterial large subunit ribosomal RNA
Source: RNAcentral
GUUAUAUGGUCAAGUGAAGAAGCGCAUACGGUGGAUGCCUUGGCAGUCAGAGGCGAUGAAAGACGUGGUAGCCUGCGAAAAGCUUCGGGGAGUCGGCAAACAGACUGUGAUCCGGAGAUGUCUGAAUGGGGGAACCCAGCCAUCAUAAGAUGGUUAUCUUACACUGAAUACAUAGGUGUAAGAGGCGAACCAGGGGAACUGAAACAUCUAAGUACCCUGAGGAAAAGAAAUCAACCGAGAUUCCCUUAGUAGUGGCGAGCGAACGGGGACCAGCCCUUAAGUUGUAUUGAGAUUAGCGGAACGCUCUGGAAAGUGCGGCCAUAGUGGGUGAUAGCCCUGUACGCGAAAAUCCCUUUGCAAUGAAAUCGAGUAGGACGGGGCACGAGAAACCUUGUCUGAAUAUGGGGGGACCAUCCUCCAAGGCUAAAUACUACUGACUGACCGAUAGUGAACCAGUACCGUGAGGGAAAGGCGAAAAGAACCGCGGAGAGCGGAGUGAAAUAGAUCCUGAAACCGUAUGCGUACAAGCAGUGGGAGCCCACUUUGUUGGGUGACUGCGUACCUUUUGUAUAAUGGGUCAGCGACUUAUUUUCAGUGGCGAGCUUAACCGAAUAGGGGAGGCGUAGCGAAAGCGAGUCUUAAUAGGGCGUCUAGUCGCUGGGAAUAGACCCGAAACCGGGCGAUCUAUCCAUGGGCAGGUUGAAGGUUGGGUAACACUAACUGGAGGACCGAACCGACUACCGUUGAAAAGUUAGCGGAUGACCUGUGGAUCGGAGUGAAAGGCUAAUCAAGCUCGGAGAUAGCUGGUUCUCCUCGAAAGCUAUUUAGGUAGCGCCUCAUGUAUCACUGUAGGGGGUAGAGCACUGUUUCGGCUAGGGGGUCAUCCCGACUUACCAAACCGAUGCAAACUCCGAAUACCUACAAGUGCCGAGCAUGGGAGACACACGGCGGGUGCUAACGUCCGUCGUGAAAAGGGAAACAACCCAGACCGUCAGCUAAGGUCCCAAAGUCAUGGUUAAGUGGGAAACGAUGUGGGAAGGCUUAGACAGCUAGGAGGUUGGCUUAGAAGCAGCCACCCUUUAAAGAAAGCGUAAUAGCUCACUAGUCGAGUCGGCCUGCGCGGAAGAUGUAACGGGGCUCAAACCAUGCACCGAAGCUACGGGUAUCACCUUUGGUGAUGCGGUAGAGGAGCGUUCUGUAAGCCUGUGAAGGUGAGUUGAGAAGCUUGCUGGAGGUAUCAGAAGUGCGAAUGCUGACAUGAGUAACGACAAUGGGUGUGAAAAACACCCACGCCGAAAGACCAAGGUUUCCUGCGCAACGUUAAUCGACGCAGGGUUAGUCGGUCCCUAAGGCGAGGCUGAAAAGCGUAGUCGAUGGAAAACAGGUUAAUAUUCCUGUACUUCUGGUUAUUGCGAUGGAGGGACGGAGAAGGCUAGGCCAGCCUGGCGUUGGUAGUCCAGGUUUAAGGUGGUAGGCUGAGAUCUUAGGUAAAUCCGGGAUCUUAAGGCCGAGAGCUGAUGACGAGUGUUCUUUUAGAACAUGAAGUGGUUGAUGCCAUGCUUCCAAGAAAAGCUUCUAAGCUUCAGGUAACCAGGAACCGUACCCCAAACCGACACAGGUGGUUGGGUAGAGAAUACCAAGGCGCUUGAGAGAACUCGGGUGAAGGAACUAGGCAAAAUGGCACCGUAACUUCGGGAGAAGGUGCGCCGGUGAGGGUGAAGCAUUUACUGCGUAAGCCCACGCCGGUCGAAGAUACCAGGCCGCUGCGACUGUUUAUUAAAAACACAGCACUCUGCAAACACGAAAGUGGACGUAUAGGGUGUGACGCCUGCCCGGUGCCGGAAGGUUAAUUGAUGGGGUUAGCGCAAGCGAAGCUCUUGAUCGAAGCCCCGGUAAACGGCGGCCGUAACUAUAACGGUCCUAAGGUAGCGAAAUUCCUUGUCGGGUAAGUUCCGACCUGCACGAAUGGCGUAACGAUGGCGGCGCUGUCUCCACCCGAGACUCAGUGAAAUUGAAAUCGCUGUGAAGAUGCAGUGUAUCCGCGGCUAGACGGAAAGACCCCGUGAACCUUUACUAUAGCUUUGCACUGGACUUUGAAUUUGCUUGUGUAGGAUAGGUGGGAGGCUUUGAAGCGUGGACGCCAGUCUGCGUGGAGCCAACCUUGAAAUACCACCCUGGCAACUUUGAGGUUCUAACUCAGGUCCGUUAUCCGGAUCGAGGACAGUGUAUGGUGGGUAGUUUGACUGGGGCGGUCUCCUCCUAAAGAGUAACGGAGGAGUACGAAGGUGCGCUCAGACCGGUCGGAAAUCGGUCGUAGAGUAUAAAGGCAAAAGCGCGCUUGACUGCGAGACAGACACGUCGAGCAGGUACGAAAGUAGGUCUUAGUGAUCCGGUGGUUCUGUAUGGAAGGGCCAUCGCUCAACGGAUAAAAGGUACUCCGGGGAUAACAGGCUGAUACCGCCCAAGAGUUCAUAUCGACGGCGGUGUUUGGCACCUCGAUGUCGGCUCAUCACAUCCUGGGGCUGAAGCCGGUCCCAAGGGUAUGGCUGUUCGCCAUUUAAAGUGGUACGCGAGCUGGGUUUAGAACGUCGUGAGACAGUUCGGUCCCUAUCUGCCGUGGACGUUUGAGAUUUGAGAGGGGCUGCUCCUAGUACGAGAGGACCGGAGUGGACGAACCUCUGGUGUUCCGGUUGUCACGCCAGUGGCAUUGCCGGGUAGCUAUGUUCGGAAAAGAUAACCGCUGAAAGCAUCUAAGCGGGAAACUUGCCUCAAGAUGAGAUCUCACUGGAACCUUGAGUUCCCUGAAGGGCCGUCGAAGACUACGACGUUGAUAGGUUGGGUGUGUAAGCGCUGUGAGGCGUUGAGCUAACCAAUACUAAUUGCCCGUGAGGCUUGACCAUAUAACACCCAAGCAAUU